This is a transfer RNA of Tritrichomonas foetus, 82 nucleotides long. It matches the Rfam family "tRNA". Rfam says of the family: Transfer RNA (tRNA) molecules are approximately 80 nucleotides in length. Lineage: Eukaryota; Parabasalia; Tritrichomonadida; Tritrichomonadidae. The record is from Rfam.
GGUAGCUUGGCCGAGUGGUCUAAGGCGAUGGAUUCAAGUCCCAUUACCGAAAGGUGCCUGGGUUCGAACCCCAGAGCUACCA